Molecule: long non-coding RNA, 3995 nt
Filed under: Populus tremula
Lineage: Eukaryota; Viridiplantae; Streptophyta; Magnoliopsida; Malpighiales; Salicaceae
Description: long non-coding RNA (PTRE_LNC001158)
Source: RNAcentral
AGUAAAAGGCAUUCAGGACAUCUUGCUCCAAAGCAUCAAAAGUAUGGAAAAUAACGGCAGAACCUUCAGAAGCCCUCUCAGCACAUUCCACGCAGAAGUUAAACAUAUAAUCAUUUGGAUCUGUUGUUCGAACAAAACUCGGAAGGUCCCUUAACUUUAUAUCUCUCAUUCCUGGGAUCCAAUCCACCACUUUGUCCAAGUAGCCAUUUGUUAGAAAGCUCUCAUCUGCAAACAAAAAUUGAACGUACAUGUAUCUUUUAGUAACUGAAUAAAAGUGGCUGCAGAAACAGAGAAAAAAUAUAUAUAUAAAAAAGAAGGUUUCCAAGCUUGUACCCCUAGUGAAAAGAAUGAAUAAUUAAGGGCAACAGUUUACUUACAGGAGAAAAUAUUUUGAAUUAAUGAACUAAUAUAAAAACCUUAAUGAAAUUAUAAUUACGUUUUUUUCCUUGUUCAUACCUUCUAGUGGUGUCAGACCUUUUUCUUUGAGUGCUCGAAAUUGUCUAGUCCCCAUGAAGCUGCAAGCAGAGAUAGUAUAGAACAACGCAAUAGGAAUUCCGUGCAUCGCAGCGGCAUCGAUAGCGACUGGCAUGGCACCAUCAGAGACGAUAUAAGUCACCGGAGGGACAUCAGAAGAUGCUGUGUCAUUCAUCUUGUCAAGCAGGUCAUUAAAUGGACCCAGCAAGUUCUUCCUGGAAGCCUCACAAAUUGCAUAGAUAUCGUGGUGGCAUUCUCAUCCGGAGCAGGGAAGCCAUCUGGAAUGAUUCAAACCGAAAAUCGGGCAAACCAGUCAGGGAAUCAGGACCUCUAGAUCUAAGUAAACGUUUGUGGUUAAACUCUGUGUUGACAAAGGUUAUGUGAGAACCUUUGUGAUGUAGUAGUUUCGCUAGUUUAAGCAUUGAGUUUAUGUGGCUCUGAGCUGGGUGGGGAAUGCAAACUGCAUGAGGCUUAUCAACUAAAAUAUUAGAAGACAUCUCUCUGAAUCUCUCUCUCUCUCUCUCUCUGUUUGUUUGCUCUGUUGUCUUCGCAGUAGAGAUUCUGGUCUUUGUAUAGGCUUAUCAACUUAAUUAGGAUCACACUGUAGUAUUUUUAUUCUAUAUUAGAAAAAUAAAAUUUUUAUUUAGUAUUUAUAUAAUAAACUUUGAUAUAAAAUAAUAACUAAAUCAAUCCAAAACAACAGACACUGGUGGUGCUUAUGGGAGAUUAAAUCGAUCAAAAAACGAACUUCAAUUAAGAUUUUGAGAUCAAAGACAACUCUCUUCAAGCUCUUUCUCUCACUCUCCUUCACUUUCCUCUCACUCAACCUCUUUAUUUACAGGAAACCAUCCAAAUUCUCAAUUUAGAAUAUGAUUAGAAAAAACACCCAAUGGGCGUGAAGUCAACUUGACGGAAGAAUCAAAAGCAAGCCGCAGAUCGAGAAUUCUUCAGAAGAAACAAAAACCAGAGCACAGUAAUUUAUUAAAGCAUGGGACACAAAUCCCUUGAGCGGGCUCUCUUGUCCUUUACUCCAGCAAGUACUGCAUCAUUUAGGAAAAAGACUCAAGACUCAAACACUAGCCAGCCAUAAUAUUUAGCAAUAAUUUAUAUCAGAAAAGCUUACGAUAUCGUAUAUGUUUAUAUGAAAUAUUAUUAAAAAACCUAUCCACACUACUCACCUUGAAAACAACACUUUUGUCUGGGGCUUUAAUUAUCUUUUAAUAAAGAAACUUUUUUUGUUCUUCAUGAUGAAAGCACUUCCGUCACUAACGUGUCUAAACUCACCACUAGGGUCAGCGGCUGCCUCUGCCAAUAUUUCCAUUCUGUGACGUUUUUUCUUCAUUUUCUCACCUCCCCCCCUCCAACAACUCUAUCACAAGCUUCUCCACAUUGUCUCAAUUUCAACUCUACCCUUCAAAGUCACAUUAUCUCUACCCUUCUAUCUCUGAUUCUCUACCCUUCGAAGUCACAUUAUCCCCAACUUAGCGGAAGAGUAAAAAGCAAACAGCAGACAACGUAUAGAAAUAAAAACCAUAAAAUAAUACGCUUGAUGAUUUAACCUAUUGGUCAACUGCAAGGUUUGCUUUUACGAAGGUCCUGGGUUCGAUCCUCAAAAGUACCAGUCUGUCACCCCUGCAGUGCCUUACCUGCUUACUGGGCUUGCAGGAUGUUCAGUAGGCUAUAAGAUUAGUUGUGGUGCGCGUAAGCUGGCCCGGACACCUAAAAUAAUAAAAAAAAAUAACCAUAAAAUAAUUAGAUAAUCAGAGAGUGAGUAUAAUCAUACCUUUUCUGUCUUUCUCUUGGAAAAUUGAGGCACAGAGAGAGAUUAAAUCAAAGAAUGACUCGCUGGAGAGAGGGCUUGAGGUGGAAGGGAAAAAGAAACUGAUGCAUAGAGGGAGUGUUUCCUGCCGAGAGGGAGCACUGCUUGAUUUAUUUUUAUAAAUUAAAAAUUUAAUAAAGUUACAAUCAGAAAAUUUGUUUUGUAAAUUUAGUAAUUUAUAAAAUUAAUUUAAUAUAAUAUGUAAGACUAUUUAAAUAGAAAAUCAUAAAUCUAAUUAAGAAAAAAAAAUCUAAAACUAAGAAAAUAAAUGUACAUUAUUCGGCAAAUUCAAACACCAUAAUCACCUUGAAAUAAUACAUUUGUCUUGAGCUGUAAUACUUUUUUUUUUUUUUGAUAAACAGACCAUAUUAUUUUUAUGACAAAAGCACUUCCGUCACCAGCCUGUCUAAACUCAUGGAUGAUGAACCACCGGGCCUAGUGGCCUCCUCGGCUAAUUUUUUCCACUCCAUGGCUGUACUAUUCUUCAUUUUCUUACCUUCUUCUCCUUCCAUCAUCUCUCUCACUUGUUUUUCCACAUUUUCUCUCGUCACAUUGCCAUCAAUCUCCAUUCCAAUUGCCCACUCAUUGCAUGUAUAUCGACAGUUUGUUUGCUGAUCACCGAAGAAUGGCCAACAAAGCAUAGGCACGCCAGAAGAAAUGCUCUCAAUUACUGAGCUCCAUCCACAAUGUGUUAGAAAACAACCAACUGAUGGGUGGUCGAGGACUUCCUCUUGUGGACACCAGCUUGAAAUAAAGCACCUGUCUUUAGUUUCUUCAGUGAAUUCUGGCGACAAUAUCGCACAGUCGCCGGCGAUCAUGUCAGGUCUUAUGAUCCAUAAAAAUGGAUGACCGCUUUUUGCAAGUCCCAUUCCAAAUUCAAUGAGCUGCUGCUUUGUAGCGACCACUACGCUACCAAAAUUAAUAUAAAUGACCGAGUUGGGUUUCUGGGAAUCCAGCCAUUGGAGACACUCAACUUCUUCUUUCCAUAGAUUACAUCCAAUAGAAUUCAGAUCAUCUUCUUGAAUUUUAUUGAGAAGCAACUGAAGUGGACCAAUCGCAUAGACACGAGGAAACAUGGAAUAAAGGGCAUUGAGAACCUCUUGCUCCAAAGCAUCAAAAGUAUGUAAAAUAACAGCAGAACCUUCAGAAGCCCUCUCAAUACAUUCCACGCAGAAGUUAAACAUAUAAUCAUUUGGAUCUGUUGUUCGAACAAAACUGGGAAGGUCCCUUAACUUUAUAUCUCUCAUUCCUGGGAUCCAAUCCACCACUUUGUCCAAGUAGCCAUUUGUUAGAAAGCUCUCAUCUGCAAACAAAAAUUGAACGUACAUAUAGCUUUCUGUAUUGGAGCUAUAUUUUCUUUUCUUAUAAACUUUAUGCUAGCAAGUGAAUGAAAAUGACUGAAGAAACUGUGUAAAAUAAAAAAUACAAAGAAGGUUCCCUAGCUUGUGUCCUAGAGAAAAGCAUGAAUAUAUAAUUAAGGGAAAUAGUAUACUUGUAGGAGAAAAUAUUUCACGAGUCCAACUCACCUGAAGUCCACUCAAGUAAUUAAUUAUGAGGGAAUAACUAUAAACAAAGUGAUUAUUGUAGAAAUCCUCUCUUUGUGAGUGUGGAUUAUUGAGCCUGACUGGUUCAAUGAUUUAUUUAUUUGGAGACAUUUCAAGCAACUCCAAAUCUUAAUGAAAAUAUAGUAUUUUUUUUCUUU